Molecule: ribosomal RNA, 464 nt
Filed under: uncultured bacterium
Lineage: Bacteria
Description: partial 16S ribosomal RNA
Rfam family: Bacterial small subunit ribosomal RNA
Source: RNAcentral
AUGAACGCUGGCGGCGUGCUUCACACAUGCAAGUCGCACGGAAAGGCUCCUGCUUGCAGGGGUACUCGAGUGGCGAACGGGUGAGUAACACGUGGGUGAUCUGCCCUGCACUUCGGGAUAAGCCUGGGAAACUGGGUCUAAUACCGGAUAGGACCACAUUUUGGAUGGUGUGGUGGAAAGUUUUUCGGUGUGGGAUGAGCUCGCGGCCUAUCAGCUUGUUGGUGGGGUAAUGGCCUACCAAGGCGUCGACGGGUAGCCGGCCUGAGAGGGUGUACGGCCACAUUGGGACUGAGAUACGGCCCAGACUCCUACGGGAGGCAGCAGUGGGGAAUAUUGCACAAUGGGCGCAAGCCUGAUGCAGCGACGCCGCGUGGGGGAUGACGGCCUUCGGGUUGUAAACUCCUUUCGCUAGGGACGAAGCGCAAGUGACGGUACCUGGAGAAGAAGCACCGGCUAACUACGUG